Molecule: ribosomal RNA, 506 nt
Filed under: uncultured bacterium
Lineage: Bacteria
Description: partial 16S ribosomal RNA
Rfam family: Bacterial small subunit ribosomal RNA
Source: RNAcentral
AUUGAACGCUGGCGGCAUGCCUUACACAUGCAAGUCGAACGGCAGCACAGGAGAGCUUGCUCUCUGGGUGGCGAGUGGCGGACGGGUGAGGAAUACAUCGGAAUCUACUUUUUCGUGGGGGAUAACGUAGGGAAACUUACGCUAACACCGCAUACGACCUACGGGUGAAAGCAGGGGACCUUCGGGCCUUGCGCGAUUGAAUGAGCCGAUGUCGGAUUAGCUAGUUGGCGGGGUAAAGGCCCACCAAGGCGACGAUCCGUAGCUGGUCUGAGAGGAUGAUCAGCCACACUGGAACUGAGACACGGUCCGAACUCCUACGGGAGGCAGCAGUGGGGAAUAUUGGACAAUGGGCGCAAGCCUGAUCCAGCCAUACCGCGUGGGUGAAGAAGGCCUUCGGGUUGUAAAGCCCUUUUGUUGGGAAAGAAAUCCAGCUGGCUAAUACCCGGUUGGGAUGACGGUACCCAAAGAAUAAGCACCGGCUAACUUCGUGCCAGCCGCCGCCGUAA